Molecule: long non-coding RNA, 248 nt
Filed under: Manihot esculenta (cassava)
Lineage: Eukaryota; Viridiplantae; Streptophyta; Magnoliopsida; Malpighiales; Euphorbiaceae
Description: long non-coding RNA (MESC_LNC012886)
Source: RNAcentral
UUCUGCCAUUUUCUUGCUAUUUUGGGGAGCUUCUUGGGACUGAUCGUCCUGUUAUUACUCUAUAAAGGCAAAGACCUAUGGAGAAACUGUGCUUCUAAAAGUACUAGAGGAGUGAAAUCUGAAUGCUGAUCUUGUGAUGGGUAGAAGGCAAAGUAGUGGCUCGGUUUUAUAAUCACAAAGGCUAGACAUGAGCCUGUUUCAUGCUGAUCUAUGUUUGAAAAUCAACAUGUCAAGGUGAAGCGUCGGUU